Molecule: ribosomal RNA, 253 nt
Filed under: uncultured bacterium
Lineage: Bacteria
Description: partial 16S ribosomal RNA
Rfam family: Bacterial small subunit ribosomal RNA
Source: RNAcentral
UACGGAGGGUGCAAGCGUUAUCCGGAUUCACUGGGUUUAAAGGGUGCGUAGGAGGGCAGGUAAGUCAGUGGUGAAAUCUUUGGGCUUAACCCGAAAACUGCCAUUGAUACUAUCUGUCUUGAAUGCGGUGGAGGUGAGCGGAAUAUGUCAUGUAGCGGUGAAAUGCCUAGAUAUGACAUAGAACACCGAUUGCGAAGGCAGCUCGCUACACCUGCAUUGACUCUGAGGCACGAAAGCGUGGGGAUCAAACAGG